CUCCAACUUGGUGCAGUUGCCAAUCGAAGCGGGCAAAACUCCAGACAACAUAUUCUCAUGCAACCACAAGUCCGUAAGGCUUGUCAUUUCACCAACCGAGAAGGGGAUCGAACCACUGAGCUGAUUGGAAUGGAGGUACACUUGCUCCAGAAACUGGUUCUUGAACAACUCCUCUGGUAUAGUUCCACUCAGCGAGUUGCUGUACAGUGACAGAAAUGACACCCUCUUGAGGUUUCCCAUUGAAGCUGGUAUAUUGCCAGAAAAGAAAUUUUGGGACAGAUCCAAUUGUUCAAGCAUACUGCAGUUCCCCAAUUCCGGAGGGAUUGAACCAGAUAUGUUGUUACCAGAUAAACUGAGAAUUUGCAGGUAUUUCAGACGACAUAUUUCAGGUCCUAGUGAACCUGAAACUCCUGAUGAUGACAGGUCAAGGGAAACCACUCUGUUCCUUUUAUUGCAACUAACUCCAUUCCAUGUACAUGGAGUUGCAUCAGAAGCACUCCAGCUAGAACUUACGGAACUUGGUAGUAUGAGAUUUUUCGACAGAGCAAGAAGAGCUUGGCCAUCUGAACUCAAACUCCAAGUUGAUGCAACAAAAGUGAAGAAUAGCGAAAUCCAAGGCCAGAAAACCAGCCUCAUUUUGUCCCUGAAAAGGUUUGAUAAAAGUCAGUGGAUAAUUAAGUUUUUCUAUAUACAAUUAGGUUGUAGGCUAAAGCACUAAAUUAAUACGAAUUAUAUAUGUACAAGUGUUGUCAUUAACCCCCAAGUAUGUUGCUGUGAAUUUUUGCAACUUUACCAUCUUAAAAGUAAGUGAACCCCAUGUCUUUGAAGAAACCAUGCCUCUAAUUCUUAAACCACGUGCUUGAAAAUUCUAUCAGUUUAGUAGAAUUUACUCAUACAUUGGUACAAUUUAAGUGAAUCCAACCUGCGCCCAUCGACCAUGAAUUAAACCUCUUGGCAAUUCAGAUAACUGAACUAGCAGGGAAGCAAAAUGCAGGAUGCCAGAACCACCCCCAACCUAAUUUCUGUUCUCGUGGCGAACUCAAAUACUAGAGACGCUAGAAGCAAUAGAACGAACAAUUUUAAUCAGAAAGCACAUUUAGUUCUCCAAAGCCGUUGUCAAGUAGUUAUAAAGAGGGAACACACUUGCUAAAAGGGGCCUGAAACAGUGUCGGACUAAAUAGGAGAAGAUACGACAACGCCGAUCUCGUGUUGAAGCAACGCCACACCGAUUCGCGAGAUGGGAUCAGAGCUCGAACGCAGAAGCAUUUCCCCUUUUCUAAUUCGAUGGUAAACGCGCACGCGUGCGCUGCGUCCGCCACCACAUGGGAACCUUGAAUGGCUGCAGAAUCCACCGACACCACCCCGAGCAAGAAAACCUCCGAUGCAGGCGGAAGCAUGGCUCGAGCUCAAAAUUGGCACCCAGAAAAGCUUAUUUCAGCGAGCUACGAAGGGAACCGCCACCGAAUUCGCUUCACCGUUGAGCAUUACUCUUGAAAACCUAGCGGAAAAGCAUCGAAUUGGGGGAGCCCGUGUGCAGGCAAGAACCCGGCGGGAAAUGAGGCCCAUCCAGGCGGGCAAUGCAGGAGGAAUAAACCCAAGGAGCGGCGGUUCGUCAGGGCAAGCGAAAGAUUCCGUCACCUACCGGUGGCUAGAAGAACAAGCAACACGCAGGGAAGCAUAAGCUGUAACUGCGCGCCAGGCCGCCCAAGCAGAGGGGGAGAGCGAGCAAGGGAGAGGGAGGGCAGCGCGUACCGGAGUAACUUGGUGCUCGAGGACGAAGCUCCUGGGGGCUCGGCUUGAGAGGGUGGCACGCUAAUCCGUAGCGGCAUCCAUGGCGGACGAGAGAGAGAGAGAGAGAGAGAGAGAGAGAGAGAGAGAGAGAGAGUACGCUGGACUGCAAAGGAGGCAGGAGGAGCAAGCAGGCAGAGCCGCAGAGGGUGGCCGUUCCUGAGCAAGCACGGAACGCGUUUGGACAGGGAAGGCGGUUGCAGGCUGCAGUAAUCGCAAGUGCGGGAGGGGGCACACCGGCACCGGCGGCACACUAUGAUGCGACGAACAACCACCUCUCCUGCGAGCGGUUCACACACACGUACCGGGAGCGCGUCCUGGCUCGGUGGCUCCAGGAGUUCCAGUGGUCAGCAACCACUUUGUCUCAAUUCAUAUGUAACAAACUUUGUUCCUGCGCUUAUACUUCAAUCACUCGACAACGACGGUCAAGCACUAAACAAAGCCCCACAAGCAGGUUCGGCGAAACGAGAAGGGAAGGUUGAUACAAUUUGCCCUCGUGAUUGUUGUUAGGUGUGAACGCAAGCCUCACACAAUCACACUAUCAUGGAGCGAUAGGGGCGAAGCGUGCACGAGAGUCUGAAUAAUCUGAAACGCCUAGUCCAUUUCGUCAAAGCGAAGUGUCAACAUGAAUUGCUGGCUGCGGCAAAGCCAUACAAUCAGUUGACAGUGUUGCCAUUCUAUGACCACGUAAGUAACAAGAAAAGUCUUUUGAUCUAAAUAACAAGAAAAAAAUUGAUGCAUCUACCGAUCCAUUUAGCUCAACAAGCAAUGUCAGGUGGUCAUAUAUGUAGAGAGACGUAUGUGCUAUAUAGAUGAUGGGCAAAAUAGGUAUUUUGGUUCCUAAACUUUACACCAAGAGUCAAGUUCAUCUCUCAACAUUUAUAUAGGUCAAUUUAGUCCCUCAACUUUUAUUUUCGGGUCAAACUCAUCCUUGUACUGAUGUGGUGCUAUAUUUUAGUAUGAGAGUAAUGUGAAAAGUUCAUUUCACCCUUAGCUCAGCUCAUGUAGGUCAAACGUGUAUAUGCUCAUGCUCCCUUGAUACAUACAUAAUAAUAUAUCUUUUAACUGAUAUAAAAUAUUAGCUUCUACAAAAGUAUAUCCACAUACUCUGUAAAAUUAUGUAUGUGCUCAUACAAAUUAAAUUUUGAUAUGCAAAAUGUAUGUACUUAUAUUCUUUUAUGAUAUAUACAACUUAAUGUAUGCACACAUACUCUAAAGUUGGCAUGUGCACAUAUACUCGUGGUACGGUAUACAUGCUCUAUAUACGUAUUCAUACUUUCUUGGUAAACAUAUAUAUUUGGUACCGUGGAAAUUGAGGGGGGAGCUAAGGGUAAAAAUAACUUUUUUAUUAAUUUUUCAUACUAAUAUGGAGUCCAUAUCAGCACAUGGACAUGUUUGAUAAAAAAACAAAAGUUAAGGGAUUAUAUUAGCCAUUCUGGAAGUUAAGACCCUUGGUGCAAAAUUCAGGGACCAAAAUGUUGAGAGAUUCAUGCAUAGAUUAAAGUCAUUCAUAUCUAACAUAUAUAACCACUCUUUUGGAAGUGGAACUGUUGGAGGCAUCCCAACUUUGUUCCGGCGCCAAUACGUUACCUAUCACACUGAGCAGAGCCAGAGGAAACGGCACAGCUCUGAUACAGAGUGUGAUACCAUUCGUUCUCGUGGUGUUUUAGCUAAACGAAAGCUUAUACCAUAAUAACAUAAUACAUCAGAUGGCUAGGUGCCAACCGACCUAACAGGCUAACAACGCACUAGAGACAGGAGAGGUUGUUUGAUUAGUGACGGCAUCUCUAUGCGUAUGCAAGUAGUUUGGACGGUCAUUGCUUUAUUUUCUCACAACUUCACAAGGUUUGAUGAGUAUGCCAUGUGCCAUCUGCUUCACUUUUUGUUUGUUCCCUUUUGUUCCCAUCUCCAGUGAACACAGGGCUUGACCACCAUCUAUCGACCAGGUUGUCCCGGCGGACGUGCACACGGAAACGUGUUUCUCGAGUCUGAACCAAAAUACUUCUACGCGGUUGAGAAACGAAGUCUGAACCGGAGGUUCACGUGUCCUCGGAGAAAGGGGUCUGGGCCAGUACGGUGGCUCCGCUGCUGAAAAGUUGACCAAGAGCAACAGUAGCAUAGCGCGUGGUCCGGGAGCUGCUGCACAAGGCGCGACGCCGUUGAAUAGUAUCCUCCGUACGAUGUGUUAAAAUGAUUUUAUUUUGAAAUAGAACCGUCGGUCCGACUUAUAUACGUACUAUGAAAUUUGGCAUAAUUCAUUUUUACUGGUACAGACGGACAUCAGAUGUACUUCAACGGACAAGAUAACACCCAUCGUUACUUAAUGAGUACUCCCUCCUUCCAUAAAUAUAUGAACAAGCAAAUUAGUUUAUUUUUAACUAAUUACUCUGUCCUAAACAUCCUAUACAUCAUGUAUUGUGGACAAAUGUAGUAUUUAUUUAAUCUUUCUCCGCAUGCCCAGCGGAAAUAACAACGCAGCGCGUCGCUGUCUUGCCGGGACGACGCGAGCCGCGACGCUCAGCUCAUUUGGCGAAGCAGGGCAAUAACUGCGCAAUGGUGGAUGGAGUGCAGAUUGGAGAGUCUGCCGCUGCUCUUCUUACUCCUGUCACUUGGGCCUUGUUUAUUUCACCUCCAACUCCCAACUUUGGCACUAUACAAAAAGAGAAUUUCCCAUCACAUCAAACUUGCGGUACAUGCAUGGAGUACUAAAUGUAGACGAAAUCAAAAACUAAUUGCACAGUUUUGUUGUACUUUGCGAGACGAAUCUUUUGAGCCUAAUUAGUCAAUAUUUGAACAAUAAUUCACAAGUACAAACGAAACGCUACAGUGUUGCUACAGUAUUUUGGACACCCUAAAGUUGGACAACUAAACAAGACCUUGGUAGCGCAGGAGCGGAAGGGGGAGGGCCAAAAACAGUCAUCACUAUUUGCUUGUGGAAUGAGCGAACAACUAGUAUUUCCAUACCACAAAAAUCACAGCUCGUUGAUCCCGCUCGCGUGCGUUCCAACCAUAAAUUAAGCAGAGAAUGCAACGCAACGACCCUUGGCAUCGUGCCUUCUGGUUUGUAGUGUGUGUUCAGUUGAGGUUCACACGAACUGAAACGCUGCUGUUUUCUAACUACGGUUAAUGUCAGACAUCAACGACGCGUUACUACGCGUGUCACCGUGACUCCGCUGGCUGGUGGCUGCCCGUAGGCAGAUGUCAGUCGUUCUCCACCAGCAAAACCUGUCUGAACCACCAACCCGGCCGGGGUGCAAAUGAUCGACAUGGACAUGGCUGGGUUUGGACUUUGGACAGAGGCAGUGAGGGCAACCAGUGAAAUACGGGCAGGCAUCGUGUGACAGGCGUCGUUGCUGAUUCCAGCUUGUCGAUCUCUGAUGGAAUCGCUUGACGGGCAGUCAACCAACGAAACAAAUACUCUGUUGGGUUGGGUAGAGAAAUAAUAAUAUCUAUAAAUCUGCAAUUUGAAAUGAAAGGACUAUUUUCUACGUUUGCUAGAUCUUGAAUAGGAGACCUAUUCAAGUACAACUACACCAGGAUUCCUACUACGAAGGAACAAUUUCUCUUUAGCACCUUGCAAAUUUUUUUAUUUUUAAACUUUUUUAAAUCAAAUUUUAAAAAUAACCUGUCCGUAAGUUUAUUUGCACUGGGUAAACUUACCCGUGCCAGCGCACUUGGCGCGGCAGGAAGCUUCUGCCACGCCACAUGCACUGGCGCGGCGGAGGCCGCCAUGCUAGCGCGGCGCGGCAGGCGGUCCAGCGUGGCGCAAACAUGGGCAGGAGCUUGAGCCUGCCUAGCGCGAUAGCGCUAUGUAGCACUCCCGCGCCGACUCAAUCCUCCCUCCCUCCCUCCCUCCUUUCUUCUUCCUCCAGUAACCUCGAGCCCGACCCUUGCACACGCCGCCGCCCGCCUCCACCCCCAAAUCCACCGAAAAUCCAGCGAUUUCGGUGGGGGAAAAGAGUGGGAAUUGGUCAUGGCUUCGUGUGGAAGGUAUCCUCCAACUUUUUCCCUUGGUUUAGCGUUCCAUUUGGUAGAUCGGAGGAUAUUUAGGUGACCUAGGGUUACGUUGUUGAUUUGAAAUUUUGAUGAAAUGCAAUGUUGUUAUGUGUUAGAUGAUGUGUAGUUCAUAUGCAAUAGAGUCUCUACCCGCGAUAUUGAUGUGUAGAACUUGUUGAAUGCUUCGAUUUAGGAUAGAUAUUCAUCCAAUUGUGUAGUGUACAUGUCAUUAUUUUUUUUAAUAUGUCCAAUAUGUUUAGUUUGUAAUAUAGUUGCUAUAGUUUUUAUGGUGAAGUGUUUGUAUUUUGUAGAUGUAUUGUUUAAUUUGUAUGUUUGAUGGUGGGAUUGUGAAAGUUGGUAUGCAAUUGUGUAGUGUACAUGAUAUGAGUACAUUUUUUUUGCAAUAUGUCCAAUUAAUUUGUCCAAUAUGUUUAUUUCAUAAUAUAGUUGCUAUAAUUUAUAUGGUAAAGUGUUUGUAUUUCGUAGAUGGAGUGUUUGUAUUUUUUCGAAUUGAUGUAUAUAGUUCGUAUGGUAAAGUAGAUGGAUUACGUGUCUAAAGUUUAUUUGUGUAUUAAUUUACGGGCACUUGAUUUGUAGGUGAGAUGACGUUGUUCGGUUGUGAAUACAAGUGGCGUAGGUGGUACGUGCGUUAUGUGGGCGAGUCCAAUGCGGGUGCUCCCGUACCUCCUGCCCUUCCAGUACCUCUUUGUAGAUGUGGCGUGCAAGAUGAAGUGAAACAAUCAAAUCAUCCAAAGACAACCGGAAGAGGCUUCUAUGUGUGCAAGUGGACUUUUGAUCCAAUGCCUGCUGCGCCUUGUGAUUUCUUUCAAUGGAUAGAUGGACCCGAUAAAUAUGAUCCUAGAAUCCGUCUAUUCCCAUAGCUUAAACCAUACCAUCAGUUUAGGCGUUGGGUUCCUCCUCCACCAAACCCACCUAGAAUGACCGAGGAGGAGAAGCAGGAGGCUUCUUGUAGGCGUGUGAGGGAUCCUCCCAUGUGCAAGUGUGGAGUUGCUGCUAAGCUUAUGCGUCCUAACUUAAGGGUUCCACCUAAGUUCACUCCAUUCUUUCGAUGCUUGCUAAAGACUCAUGUAAGUUUAUUAGGAGAAUGUUAGUAUGACGUGUAGCAAGCAGUGAUAGUUUUAUUGAUUUGUGCUCACUUUUAAUCUUGUCACCAGUUUUAUGCAGGAUGGGUGGCCGCUAUGUGAUUUCAAUGAGUAUAUCUACGGGUCACAGGCGAUGUGGCCAACGGAGGAGCAAGUGUGGGAGUUCGAGAGUGGAAAGGCACCAUGACCAUGUGUAUCCUCUCCUAGUCGUAGAUGUAAGUGUGGUAUAUUGCAACAAAAGGUGUGGUGCCUUCUGAGCUUGGAUAUGGUUCGUUCUUUGGCAAUGCACAUGGCGAGUACUGGGUGAGUAACUACUUGUCUCUUUUGUGGUGCCUUGAGAGCUUACAUGUGAAAUGUGUAUCCAUUGUUUCAAAUUUGUAAGAAUAUGAAAAUCUUGUUGCAGCAGGGAAGGACAUGUGAUUGGGAAGACUUUUCUUAUCGUUGUGAUUUAUUGUUAAAGUUGGGUAGUACAUCAGAACCAUGGAAGUCAAGACAAACACAAGAACUGAUAGAAAAGAUUAGAAAGGAGUAUGAUGUGUCUAUACCUGACAGCGACUUGCUUUGGGGGAAAAUAUACCAGGACAUGGUUCAGGAGACUGGAGUGAAGCCUUAAGGACUUUAUGUGAAGGAAACUAUUAUUAAGUAUUGGAGGCAAAAUAGAACCAAGUAUCCACAACCUCUAAUUGAAAAUGAGAAGAGAGAAAAUAGGAGAAAGUUGCAGGAGGAGAGGGAGUUGGAGAAACAAAGUUUGAGGGAGGAGAGAGAUCGCAUAGGUUUUAUGGUUGAUCCGAAUGUGAAAUACCCUAAGGGUUCAUGGGAAGAAUAUUUGCAACAGGUUAGGGUAAGGAAGAGAAGGAUUGAAAUGGAAGAGUUACAAAAAAAAGUGGAAGAGGCACAAAUGGAGGCGAUGAAGGCACUUGUUGCCGAUUUACCUGUUGGUAAGGUUAAUGUGGAUAAAAAGGUAAGGUUAAUGUGGAUAAAAAAGGGAAGGGAGUUAUUAUUGCGCGGGAUGGCGAUGAUGAUGAUGAGUUACUAUGUGAAGGUGACUUCGACUAGAUGAACAUGUUGAUUGAACAUGUUGAUUGAGUUGGAUCAUGUUUCUCUUUAGUUGUGAAAACUAUGUUCAUUUGUGAGGCAACUAUGUUUAUUGUGAGGACUAUGAUUAUUUGUGAAAACUAUGUUCAUUUGUGAGAAAACUUUGUCUAUUGUGAGAAUUAUGAUUAUUUGUUAACAAACAUGUAAUAUGUUAUCUGCAUUGAGUGCGCGUGCGUGGUCGUGGUCAAUGUUUGCAUUUUGAUAAUACAUUAUUUGCAUAUACUAUUACAAGGGCUAUUUCGUUCCAUAACACAAAUCAUUAAUGAUUACUUACUUUGUUCAUACAUAGGGUAGAAAAUUACUUACUAUUGCUAAUACCACACUGUGUUGCAGCUACUUGGAUAGUUUCAUGAUAUUAUUGGAAACCUGCAAGGCAACAAGUGUGUGUGAUUUAGCACUUGUGAUCUCAUACAGAAGGUACCCUUGCUUUGAGAAAAAUAGAGUAACCACCAAGGUAGUCCUUACUUUCUUUCUUAAUCAACAACCAACUUUGAAAAUUUAUAAUUUAGACAUAAGCAACUGAAUUGUGUAAAUUGAAGUGUAUCAUCUAGGUUUUUCUUUAUUCACUUUUAGGUUUAUUCUUUUCCUAUAAUCCCUUUGCAAUAGUACCUAAUAGCUUGAGAGCAGUAAGGUGUAGAAGUGGAACUGUAAUGCUGCCGCGCCACCCUGCCUGGCGUGGCAGGGGUCAGCUGCCGCAUAAAGCGCACCGAACUUUCAGUUGGUUAGAGGGCCACUGCACCACUCUAGCUGGCGCGGCAGGGGUGUGCUGCCGCGCAAAGCGCACCGAACUUUUAGUAGGUGCGAGGGGCCACCGCGCCAUCCGGCUGGUGCGGCAAGCGCUACCGCGCCACCCUGCCUAGCGCGAUAAGGCUGAGCUGCUGCACAAACUGCACCGAACUUUCAGUAGGUGUGAGGGGCCGCCGCGCCACUCUGGCUGGCGCGGCAAGCGUUGCCGCGCCACCCUGCCUGGCGCGGCAAGCGUUGCCGCGCCACCCUGCCUGGCGCAGCAGGCCUGAGCUGCCGCGCAAACCGCACCGAACUUUUAGUGCUAAAGUUUUGAUGCCAUUGCUGAAAAUUCAAAGGAAUCCAAUUAUUAGCAUGGUACAGAAGUUUUGAGAACUGCAAAGCGGAAAAGGAAAGUCGUCGUUGUGGCUUACAUCGACGCGAAGACGGCAAGGUCGACCCACAGGCAAGCGCUCUCAAAUCGAGAUCUACAAUAUAUAUGCAUACCCUCCAAUAUUUGAAUCCCUUGCAGUGCAUCUACAAGCCUCACACAGCUGCCUGUACAGCCAGGCGAGGACCGCUGAGCCCCAACUGUACAAACAGAUGUUGUCCCAAUCUUGAUCCAAAAGUGGGAGAACCAUCCAAGACACCGUGUUCCCGGCUGCAUCAAGGAGGAAUGUGCUGACAAAGUGCCACAGCCAAACACGAGCAUAUCUUUGCACAACCUUGUCAUUUGCUCCCUCAGGGCAAAUGUUGAAUAGCUCCCUCAACCAUGCGGAGCUCACACCGGGGGUCUUCUUGGAGUUAUCUCUAUCCUCUGGCUCUGGCAGCCUAAUCCCAAUGUGCAUUGCUACCAUAUCACGCCAAUUCUCGCUCUGUAUGAUUCCCGUCUCUGGAUGCCCCUCCACCCCUCCAGUGAAAGACUGAGUAUCAUGGGGACGUCUUGCAUCGUGAUGGUCAUCUCGCCAAAUGGGAGGUGGAAGGUGUGAGUCUCCGGAUGCCACCUGUCAAUCAUGGCGGUCAACAACGGUCCAUCCAUUGGAGCGAGACCGACAACAACCUGAACUGCAAUAUUCAGGAAUCCUGCUCUCUGCAGGUAGUGCGCGUAGCGCUCGUCCCACCUAAAUGGUGAGUGCACUCUCGCCUGUAAUGGCUUCAAAUCCUGCAAAACAACCAAAUAAUUGGAAAUAAGUUUAUUUCUUACCAUACAAGCAAAUGGACAUAGAUGGAAAAGGUUGUUUGGAAAAAUAAUGGAAAGUGAAUGCAUUUGAGAUUAAAACUAUGAAAGCUCAUCAACUCUAGAAAUAAAGAGCUACUAAAGUGCUAAGUAACACAAAUCUGAUAUAAAUGACAUUUUGAGUAGGAAAUUGUGCUGAUUGUACACAAGAAACCGGAAUGGUGUUUAUCAUCACCUUUUUCAGGUUAAAACUUAAUGUCAGCUGAGAAUUAGACAUAGUAAUAUUCAGGGAUAGACUUAGCAUCAAGUCAUAAGAUUUUCAGAAUGACUAGUCAUAUUGUCAACAUCCAAGUCAAUACGGGGCUUUGGCACACAAGAAAAUAAGUACCAGAGGAAGGAACGCAUGUUAAGCACUAUUGCGAGAAAUUAGCAAGCAUUGUUGAUAAUAGUUUAUACAAAAAUGUUUCAAUUCUCAUCCUAAGAUAUCCAUUCAUCAGCAUAAAUUUUCACAUUGGGACAUAAUGAAAUGGUAAGGACUAGUACUACCAAAUGUGUUUUAAAAAUAAUAGUGCUGUAAUGCUACCGAAACAGUAGAAUCAUACGAUAUUACAAUGUUACAUAGAUCUUAAGACUUGCGCCCUUUUUCUUUUCUAUUAGAAGAAACAAUCAAAGGAUAGGUCAGGAAAUUUAGGGUCAUUACCUUACCCAUUGCAGAAUUAUGGUUUGUUUACAACUAAUUUAAUCAGCUAGUAUUUCAAAGUGGUGCAAAAGGGUGAUGGAAAAUUAUAAAACUCUUAUAUAGGAAUCUUAACACAGACACAAGGACAUGCAAUAACUGUGCAGCGAGGUGCAGUACCUCGUGCAGGUUGGCGAGGUGGUGGGCGUGGUGCUGCGAGUCGUACAUGGCCUCAAGGAGCGGGUACGCUGGGACCGCCAUCCUAGAAAAUAAUAAACAACAUUCGUUAGUAAAAAGGUUUAUUGUAUAAUAAGUACAAUAAAAAUGAAAAUUUACUUUCAAUAAAUGCUAUAAUGAUAACCAUGCAAAAAAUGAGCAACGCGUCUAUCCUCAUGUUGGAAGAACGCGGCCUAUUAUUGUUCGCCCUAGAUUUCGUGGCCUUAUAUUUUCUAUUGCAGCAUGUGCAAUUCUUAAUGAUCUUGUGGCACUUCGAGCAACGAUUUUCCGACUUGUCCACAUCAAAAUCGCUAGUGCCAUAAUGUGCAGAAAGCCUCCCUUGCGACACGUCCAUGUCACCUCUCAAAUGCUUCUUCUGCCUCCUUCCUACUUUAUUUCUCAUCAAAUUGGGGUUGGGCACGUACUUUACCCCUUCAUAAGGCGGCCAUUGUGAUGGAUCAAGGUAAGGUUGAAAGCUAUAUUCCCAUAUUCUAACAGUGUGCUCCCUAGAGUACAAUGGUGACAUGUACAAGGGGCUUUCGUAGUUAAGACCUCUUGCCUUGCAAGCUGUAAUGAAGUGUGAACAUGAAAGAUGCAACAAUUGGGGAACAUUGCAGGUGCACGAAACUUCGUUCAGAUCCACUCUGUAGUGUCAGCAUCCAUGGCUCUCACCCCCAACAUUAGUAGUACCGGAACCUCUUAUAGAAUAUACCAUUCUUUCUGGCCCGUACAGUUCUGGUAAGUGGUGCACGGACCUAAGCUCAGCCUCUGAUAUAAAUUCAUCUGCAACCUUCCCAAUCCUAUGACCUUCAUCCAACAUUGCACGUGCCUUUUGCCAUUGGUCCACAAAGUAGAUGUUGCAUUUUUCAAAGGAGUAUUCCAUAACUCCAGAAAUGGGCCUACUUCGGAUGCCUUUGAAAACAACGUUUAGUGAUUCCGAGUAGUUCGUGGUCAUAAUACCCCAAUGCAUCCCUCCCUCAUUGAAAGCCUGCGCCCAUUUGUCCUCAUCCUCUAUUUCACCCUUCAACCAUUCUUUUGCGUCAUCGUUCAAAUCCUUCACUAGAUCUUCUAACUUCUCAUCAAACUCUGUCUCCGUAUGUACCUUGCAUAAAGUAUUCAAUUUUCCAAUCACGCGGUCGUUCUUUUGCCAACGCGACAUGUUGGCGGCAAAGUGCCUCAUGCACCACCUAUGCACAAGUGGUGGAAACCCAUCCAUGUGGUUGUUCGCACAAUUUAGGAGCCCAUGGUGCCUAUCCGAGAUCAUACAUACUUAGCGUGAAGGUCCAAGUACAUGUCGCCGAACCAGUUUCAUAAACCAUGACCAACUCUCAUUGUUCUCACUCUUGGCCAAGGCAAAAGCAAGAGGCACAAGCUGCUAUUCUGGAUCUACACCAAGUGCCAUCAGUAGUGUACCCUUGUACUUUCCGGUCAAGAAUGUACCUUCCACAAGUAUCACAAGAUGACAAUGUUGAAAUGCCACACUACAUUGAGGGAAGCACCAAAAUACCCUUUGGAGCACGUGCUUCAAAACUCCAUUGUCAGGAUGCAUCAUGCCACAUGAGUCAGUGAACCAUUCAACCCUGGGAUUGUAGUAGGCCAUAGCUGUGAGUACCCUAGGAACCAUGCCAUACGACUCCCUCCAAUCCCCCCAAAGUAGGGCAACGACGUGUUGCUUUGCCUGCCAUGCCUUUGAAUACUUGACACGGUAUCCACUAAAGGCAAAGAUGGACUCCACGACGGAUGGCACCGAUGUCUCGCUGUCUUUACGGAUAAUGCCUAGGAUACGCCGCCCAAGGUACUUUGCUGUGCACUGGACGUGCACUCACUUCGGUUGUGAAGAACGACAAGUAUGCGGUUGCACAAUAUUUGAAAUCCUCCAUUGUCCGAUGCUUGUAAUUAGUUAAGACCAUACACGCCAAUGACAUCCUUGCUUGCACAUCACAUUUUACCUUAAGUUCUUAUCAGAGUGAACUAUGGUGAAAGGCCUAUGUAACCUCACUGCGUAGUCAGCCAAGAAAACUUCAGCUCCUCAAGACUUUUGAACUUCAUUCCCUUCUUAAUCACUGGAUUCUCAUUAAAGGGUAUCCCUUCGAAAUUCACCAUACUAGAUUCACAUAUGGCUUUGUGGACCAUGCUUAUGUCCUUAUCAUUGGGAACGGAUGGCAGUUCGACAUCACGUUCUUUCAACAAUCGCAACUCGUUCUGGGUAUAAGAAAAAUAUUCGUCCAUACGACCAAUACCUUCUACAUCAUGCACAGUUGCGGUGUCGAACUGCGGUGCAUCCUCCUGAUAUUGUGACUCCUCAUCCUCAUUUUUAUGCCCACCACUCUGAGAUGGCGACUCCUCCUCUCCCUCGACAUCUUCUACCCCAUCAUCCUUGAAUUCACUACCUUCGGAACCCAUAGAUAUAUCAUCAUCAUCUAUAUUUGCUUCAUCCCUCUCAAAAGUGUCAUUGGGAAAAUCAUCAUUAGCAAUGGCCAAGUCAAAAGUAGAUUCUGUGUCACCUAACACGUGUUGCAAAAUUUCUGACUCCUGGGUACCAUUACGAUUCACUACUGCCACUUCAUCGCUCAAGACAACAUUUGGGCUAGGCAUAUGAACAAUUUCAACUACAACCUCCAAGCAUGCAACAUUUGCUUUGUGAACUACAUCCUUAUAGUGCUUCCAAUUUGAAUCGGAUGCUAAGUUCAUGAGAACAUAAUGAGCUCUAGCUUUCCCACAAUCAAAACGGCCUCUCAAUGUCAUCUCAUGCACUCUACAUCCAUACUUCCUCAUUGCACGGUCAACUAAAUCAGUAAAAGUUGUAGGACCAUCGAAGAAUUCAACUGCCUCAUUCAUAUUCUCUAACUCCCCAUUUUCUUUCACAAUACCACCAUAAAAAAAUGAACUAAACGAUCCAUCUACAAAAUACAAACACUUCACCAUAUCAUGUAAACUACACAUUGCACAUAUUGGACAUAUCAAUUGGACACAUUCGACAUAUUGGACAUAUUGCAAAAAAAAUAACUACCCAUGUCAUGUACACUACACAAUUGGAUGAAUAUCACAUAAAUCGAAGCAUUCAACAAGUUCUAUACGUCAAUAUCGUGGGCAGAGACUCUAUUGCAUAUGAACCGCAUCAUCUAACACAUAACAACAUUGCAUUUCAUCCAAAAUUGAAAUCAUCAACCUAACCCUAGGUCACCUAAACAUCCUCCGAUCUACCAAAUGCAACGGUAAAACAAGGAAAAAAGUUAGAAGAUACUUUCCACACGACAUGGUGAUGAAUUCCCACUACUUUCCCCAAGCCAAAUCGUCAAAUUUGGGGGUGGCAGCGGCGGCCGGUAGCGUCCAAGGAGCUUGGGUGCAGGGGGUUACUAGAGGAGAAGGAAGAGAGGAGGGAGGAAGUAGGGAGCCGGCGCACGGCUGUAGGAGAGGAGCUGUCGAGCCAGGUGGGCUAGUGCGGCAAUCACCACCCUACGUCAACGACACGCUAGCCCGCCUCCCGCGCCGCGCCAGCAUGGCAGCAUCCGCCGCCCCAGUGCAUGUGGCGCGGCAAAAGGCUUCCUACCGCGCCAGGCGCUCUGGUGCGGGUAAAAGGGUCACCUGAUGCAAAUAAGCUUCCGAACAGGUUAUUUUUAAAAUUUUAUUUAAAAAAGGUUAAAAAAAUUUGCACGUUGCCCCAUGGUUCUUCAGAGACAAGCAGACCUUAGCACCAAGAAUGGCCGAAAAACAAAGUGGUACAAAUAGCAAAGCUUGGCACAUCUAAUCCAUGUGGAUCACUCUUCCUUUCUCCUUUUUCAAAUUAGAAAGACACUAGUUGAUCAACCCGUGCUCCCGUACGAACUAAUAUUUUUAAAAGUUAUAAUAUUUAAAAAGGUAUCUAGAAAUUAAACUUCUACCUAAUAAUCAUAAUUAUUUACGUACUACUCUCUUAUUUUUUCAAUACUUCAACAUAAUACUCAUAUAGAUGUGUACUUAUCUAUAUCCAGCUGUGAUUAAUUUUUAAUUAGUAAUUACUCUAUACACUUUUCAAUUCACAUUCAUUUUUUUUCAUUUUGUAUGGCACCUCUAUACCUUGUGUUUAGCAUAAAAAUCAAUAUUUUUCAUCACUUCCUCACAUACAUGGUGACACUAAUCAUGGGUAUAUACCUUAACUGAAUAUUUCUAUAUUAACAAUAACAAAAAUAGGUAAUUUAGAAUCAUAUAUUAGUUUAAUAUUGAACAUUUCUAUAUGAUGCACAUCAAGAUAAUUAGAUUAAGAUUUAGAUGUUUACUUUAGAUUAUUUUUAAUAACGACAUAUAUGGCUAACUUAGAUACAAAUUUAGAAUGUCAUUUUAAGUUAUAUUUUAUAAUAAUAUGCAUGAGUAAAUUGGAUGAAAAUUAUGAGGUUAUUUUACAUUAUCUUUUAUAAUGACCGAGCUCGGUAAUUUAGAUAUAGUUUUAGGGUUUGUUUUAGAAUAUUUUCAUAAUGAUAGUGGUGGGUAAUAUUUUAGAAAAUAUAAUAGACCAAUGACUAUGAUUAUUUGAAUUUACAUGAUUUUUGUGAGAAUUUUUAGGAUUUUUAUUUUUUCUAGGAUUUUUUAUCCACAGCAUAAGUAUGGUUUGGUCUAUAGCACAUCCUAUUUGUUGAUUUUAACUCUGGCACACUGUGAAAAUGUGAAUUUGUACGCAACACACUAUUGGUGUUAUUUUACUCAUUUCUAGUCUGAGAAGGUGGUGAAUGGACACUUGUGCCCUUGGCAAGGGAGUAGAGAUCUGUUGGUGCCCAGCUAGGCUCGAAGUUGGCAGCGGCGGUGUGUCGGCGAGCACAAAAUUAUCAAUUGCCCGAACCUCAAUGUGCACGCAGCGUUCCCUAUGAAGAUGGGGGCGAGCUCAUCGAGGAUGGGUGCAGGUGCAGGGUUGCCACUGAUGGAGCAAGUCGCCACCACAGCGAGCAUCCUCGUGAUGACGUGAAUCCCCUCCGCCGACCACCAGUUGCCGACCUCGCCCUGCGGCGGGGCAUCAUGCGCGUGGGUGCGAGGAGAGCAAGCGGCAGCCUCGAAGGCAAGCUGGGGAGGUUCUGUGCAUUGUGGCCAGUCUACAGUCCUUUUAACAUCUAUUUUAGCCGAAAAGGAUUAAUUUAUUUGGUACAGUGUCCAGAAGACAAAAACACGAAUUAGGGAUGUGCAAACUAAAUCGGGGAGUGAAGCGUGCUAUGGACCAAACCACGUUUUCACAAUGUCCUAGGGACAAAAAUCCCUUUUUUCUAGCAUGUCUUUUGAGAACUAAUGCGGAGUCUCUUAUAAAAAAAUAAAACCAUAUUGCUAUAAACUAUUACCUUUAACUACCUCUCAUUUGGUAAAUAUUCAAACACAAUACUUAUAUAAAUAUAUACUUAUUAUUUUCGUUUAAUUGUGAUAGAUUUUAGUUAGUAAUUACUCUAUAACGUUUUCAUCCACAUUUAUAAUCUUUAACUUUUCACUUUGCAUCGCAGGUAUGUGCUUGAGUAUGUUUGAUGGACCCUAAGUUUGAGCUAUAAUUUUAACAUAGAAAUCUAUAUUCUCAUUACUUCCUUUGUAUCUUUAUAAAUGGUGACAACAUCAUGCAUAUAUACAUUAAUUAUUAUAUCAUAUACCAAUAGUGUAAGAAAUAGAUGAUUUAAAAUCAUAUAUUGAUGUAUAUUUUUAAUAUGGUGUUUUGGAUUUAAAUGGAGGGUUACCUCAUGUUAUUUUUAAUAAUAACAUAUGUAGGUAAUAUAGAUGCAAAUUUAAGGAGUUAAUUUUAAGUAUUUAGCUAUGGGCAAUUUACUUGUAAAUAUAGGGAUUAUUUUAAAUAUUGUUUAUAAUGACAUAAGUGGGCAAUUUUGAUGAAGAUUAUGGGGUUACUUUAGUUUAUUUUAUAUAAUGAUAGAGGUGGGUAAUUUAGAUAUAGAUUUAGGGGGUUACUUUAGGAUAUUUUCAUAAUGGCAUAGGUGGGUAAUUUUUUAAAAAGAUAAUAGAUCCGAUGGCUAUGAUGCUUUGACUCUACCGAUGAAUGGCCAAAUGUUUUGCUUUUUUGUGAGAAUUUUUAGGAUUGUCCUCUUUUUCUAGAAUGUCCACCUAGGAUUCUAGGUAGCUUCAAAAAAUUAGAUCAACCUAGGAGGAGCUAGGUGAUUUUUUUUUAUUAAGAAGAAGAAAUAGGUACUCAAAUUCAAGCUAGAGAGGACUCGAACUUGGGUGGUUAGAGUGCAUGACCACACCUCCCAUUCUAACCAGUUGAGCUAGACUCACUUCCUCUCCUAAGUGGCUUCACCUAGACGCUUCAAAAGGAGCCUAAUAGUAAGAUUGCAAAUUGUUCAUACACACACACACAUACAUGCAUACAUACAUACAUACAUGCAUACAUACAUACAUACAUACAUACAUACAUACAUACAUACAUACAUACAUACAUACAUACAUACAUAUAUGAAUUUCCAAACCGUCCGAACUACAUAAUUGACCCGCUGAGAUUGUUAUCUCUGAGAACCAACCGUUGCAGUCUUAGACAAUCUGUAAUGAUACCAGGUGGGAUGCUACCGUUGAGAUGAUUCAACCUCAAGUCCAAAACUCUCAAUCCUUUUCCUGAACAAAUAUUUGGUGGUAUCCCACCAACAAAACUAUUAUUUCUGAAACUUAUUAGGACCAAACGGCUAUUAACACCCAGCUCCGGUGAGAUUGUUAUCUUUGAGAACCAACCGUUGUAGUCUUGGACAAUCUGUAAUGAUACCAGGUGGGAUGCUACCAUUGAGAUAAUUCAACCCCAAGUCCAGAACUCUUAAUCCUUUUCUUAAACAAAUAUUUGGUGGCAUUCCACCAACAAAACUAUUAUUUCUGAAACUUAUCCGGACCAAACGGCUAUUAACAACCAGCUUCGGUGGUACGAUCAUAGAGAAGAAAUUAUCAUAUAGUGUAAUAUUCUGGAGGGACUGUAGCUCAGCUACCACUGAAGGUACCUUACCCGUGAAACUAUUACCGUAAAUAUGGAUGCUCUCAAGGGUUGGGAUACUCCAAAUAUUCUCAGGGAACUCUCCUACGAGGCGAUUCUCGAACAAAAAGAGCUUUGAAAAAUUUUGUAAAUGUGCCAAAAUUUUUUAGGAACAGUGCCCUCCAGCUGGUUUGCAUCCAACUCUAGCCACUCCAGCAUACGAUAGUUACCAAUCUCAGGAUAGAUUGGUCCAGACAGGGAGUUCUGAGAAAGUAAAAGAUGAGUGCAGUUGCUCAAUAAGCCGAGAGAAGUUUGAAUUUUGCCAGACAAGCUAUUAUUGACAAAUCCAAGUUGUGUCAAGCUCCUACAACUCCCCAGCCAUGAUGGAAUUUCACCCUUUAUAUUAUUGAAUGACAGGAUGAAUAUUUCCAACUUGCAGCUAUUCUCAAAACUGAAAGGAAUCUCGCCUCUGAAGCUAUUGUUUGUGGCAUCAAAUAUCCUAAGGCCUUCGAUCUUGCUCAAGGUUUCGGGAAGACUGCCGCUCAGUUGAUUAUUGAGUAGAUAGAGGACCUCCAACUUGGUGCAGUUACCAAUCGAAGUGGGUAAAACCCCAGAUAACAUAUUAUCAUGCAACCACAAGGACGUAAGGCUUGUCAUUUCACCAACCGAGAAGGGGAUCGAACCACUGAGCUGAUUGGAAUGGAGGUACACUUGCUCCAGAAACUGAUUGAGAAGCACAAUACAGGCACACAGCCAUGCAUACGUGACACCAACACGCUAGGCAGUGGUAAUAACUCUAAAAAGGAAAGUAGCUGUGACAUCAGUCUUAAUGGGAUUUCAUCAUAGGGAGUUUCAUCGACAUUACAUUCUAACUAUCUUGGAAAAAACGGAAUGUGCUUCACAUUACGGAUUCAGUAGACACUGUCUUGUCCAGUUGUUCCUAUCUUCGUUUGCUAAAAUGACUUUCAUUAAUUUUCUUUGCUGCUAACCUUGAAAAGCAUACACAACCUCCUGCUUUUACACCCGGAUUCGUACUGUCAACGAGCAACUGGUUGGAACUGGGACAAAAACAAGGUGCUCCCAAUUCCAGAACCUUUUACGAUAUGCCAUGUUGCUUCGACCGUGCACACCUCGUUACGUUUAACCAGUCUUUUGGUAUGCAUGUGCUACUAUGCUCACCGACGAGUUUCUCCUUCCAAAACUACACUGGUUUUUUGUCUAAAACUUCAAUCGUCACUGGUUUUGUCUAAAACUCCCUAUACGAUGUGUGUAACAACGGCAUAACUGUAAAUAUCAAAGGCUAUAUGCUUCUGCAGAAGCAAAGGCGAGACACUUGUUUUAUUUUCUUUUGAACGGAAGACACUUGUUUUAUUCUAUCAAUCAAAGAUCACAUUAACUGUAAAUCACCCUAUCUUUCGUGAGUUACAACUUACAACGAACACAGUAAGCAUUUUUUGGCGGAAUUUUGCUGGAAAAGUUGUUGUAACUAAGAUCUAAAACACCUAGGUUUGUACAAUUACUGAAUCCUGGAAUGGAUCCAUUCAGGUUGUUAGCUUGGGGACUGAUUUGCAGCGAACAAGGGCAGUUUGAAAAUAUAUUUGGUGGGACCGGACCGUCGAAACCAUUGCGGCUAAGAUCUAUGUAACUUAAUCCCUUGCAAUUUCUGAAUUCAGGAAUAUGCCCGCUGAAAUUGUUGCCCUGAAGAAUGAAUCUCUCCAAACUUGGGCAGUUCGAAACCCCGGAUGGGAUGCUACCAGUGAGAUGAUUAGAGCCCAAGUCCAGAAUUCUCAAUGUUUUCCCUGAACAAAUGUUUGGCGGAAUCCCACCAACAAAACUGUUGUUGGUGAAAUCAACCUUGACUAAACGGCUGUUAGCACCCAGUCCCGGUGGUAUGGCUCCGGUGAAGAAAUUAUCAAACAGUGUAAUGUUCUGCAGGAACUUAAGCUCAGCAAGCACAGAAGGUAGCUUCCCAGUAAGACCAUUUCGAUAGACGAGGACACUUUGAAGGCUUUGGAUGCCCCAUAUAUUUUCAGGAAACUCCCCUGUGAGAUGAUUUUCAAAAAGGAACAGCUUCUGCAAGUUCCUCAAGUUUGCUAGUUCUUUUGGAACAGUGCCCUCAAGCUGGUUUGCAUCCAACUCCAGCCACAAAAGCAAUUCACAGUUGCCAAUUUCAGUAGGGAUUGGACCAGACAAAUUGUUUUGAGAAAGUAGAAGAUAAGUGAGGUUUCUCAGUAAACCAACUGUAGGUGGUAUCUGUCCGGACAGACUGUUGUUGACAAAUGCAAGCUGCGUCAAGCUGCUGCAGUUCCCUAACCAUUUUGGUAUCUCCCCUCUGAUUUGAUUGAAUGACAGGAUGAAUAUUUCCAACUUGCAGCUAUUCUCAAAACUGAAAGGAAUCUCGCCUCUGAAGCUAUUGUUUGUGGCAUCAAAUAUCCUGAGGCCUUCGAUCUUGCUCAAGGUUUCAGGAAGACUGCCGCUCAGUUGAUUAUUGAGUAGAUAGAGGACCUCCAACUUGGUGCAGUUACCAAUCGAAGCGGGUAAAACCCCAGAUAACAUAUUAUCAUGCAACCACAAGGACGUAAGGCUUGUCAUUUCACCAACCGAGAAGGGGAUCGAACCACUGAGCUGAUUGGAAUGGAGGUACACUUGCUCCAGAAACUGGUUCUUGAACAACUCCUCUGGUAUAGUUCCACUCUCAAAAACACGGAUACGGCAGGGAAGGUGCGUAUCCCGUAUCGGAUACAUAUUCGAUACGAAUAUGCCUAGGAUACGACCGGGAUACGUAUCCGCAGUGUGUUUGCGUAUCCCUGCUUAUUUGGGCUAGAAACUAAGGAAAGGAAAUGUUUCGGCCCAGUUGAUACGGCCCAGCCCAACUUACCACGAUCCCAUUCUUUGCCUUUGCCCUACUCCCGAUCCUCACAUGCGCAGUCCGCCUCACGCAGCCACCUCCGCCUCCCGUCUGGCCAACUCCCCCAUGCAGCGCCCGUGUCCGCCGUCCCCUGGCGACCAGCCUCCACCCUCGCCGGCAACAAGGAGCCCCCGUGACGGUGACGAAGAGCUGCACCCGGCCUCCAGCAAUGAGCCCCUGCGACGGUAACAAAGAGUUGCGCCCGGCCGGCCGCAACGCCAAUGAGCCCCUGUGCUGCCUCGUGCCCCCUACUUAGGUGAGUUCCUCUCCCUCCCUAAUCCAAUUUAGAGUAGAGCCAGUGCACCCUGCCCCAUUAGGCCAAAAGCCAUUACCCCUUCCUGAUUACUGAUUAGAGCCUUAUUGAUUUUGUCCAAUGUUCAUUGUCUAGUAUGGCAUCUCCAAAUUUGAGUAGUGCAGGUAGUGCUAGUGCUACUGCUAGUGCUAGUGUGGGAUCUGGGUCCAGAGAAACAACUGAUAUCAAGGCUCCGCUGUGGGAUCAUGUCACCAUUCUAGAGAGGCCUAAAACUGGUGGAGGAAAUGCUUUUUGGAGAUGCAACUAUUGUCCAUUGGAAAAAAGCAGCAGCUACACUAGAGUUGAAGCUCGUUUGCUGUAGAAAUCAGGGAAGGGGAUUAGCAAAUGUGCGAAGGUUUCAUAUGAAAUGCUAAGUGAGAUGAGGAGGGAAGUGGAAAGGUGCAAGGAGCUGGUGGAAAGAGCAAAGACACGCACCGUUGCUUUGCCUGUAGCUCCUUCUCCAGCCAAUUACAACAAGAAGAACAAGAGGGGACCUGCUUCUAUAUUGGAAAAAUCUUGGGCAUUGCAAGACCGCAAGCAUUUGGAUGCUUUAAUUAUUAGAGCAAUGUAUUCUGGAGGGGUAUCUUUCAACUUUCUGAGAAACCCAUAUGUUAGAGAAGCUUUUGCAUUUGCUUGCAGCCACAAUUUGCAAGGUUACACAAUCCCUAGGUAUAACAGGGCUAGGGAAUCACUCCUGAGCAAGAAAGAAGGCACAUAGAGACUCUAUUGGAGAGUACAAAGAGCACAUGGCCAGAAAAAGGGGUCACAAUCUGCAGUGAUGGUUGGUCAGAUCCUCAUAGGAGGCCAAUCAUCAACUUCAUUGUUGUUUCUAAGAAAGCUCUAAUGUUUUUGAGGGCUGGCAAUUGUGACGGAGAAUAUAAGUCAAAAGAAUAUAUUGCUGAGAAGUUGAGGGCUAUUAUUGAUGAAGUAGGUGGACAAAAUGUGGUACAAAUCAUCACAGAUAAUGCUGCAAACUGCAAAGGUGCGGGUCUUUUAAUUGAAGCUGAAAAUGAUCACAUAUUUUGGACACCUUGUGUAGUGCAUACUCUCAACCUUGCUAUGAAAAAUAUAUGUGAACCUAAACUGCCAAGGACACCUACUGAUGAGGAUAUGCAUGUUUGGGGACAACUAGAAUUUAUAUACAAUGUUAAAGUUGAGUCUAGUAUGAUCAAGAAUUUCAUAAUGAAUCAUGGCAUGCGUCUUUCCAUGUUCAAUGAGUUCAGCCAUUUGAAGUUGCUUUCUAUUGAUGAAACAAGAUUUGCAUCGGUUGUGUGUAUGCUAAAACGGUUUGUUGACGUAAAAGCAGCUCUCCAACACAUGGUGAUUAGUGACAAAUGGAGCAUCUACAAAGAGGAUGCUUCAACUGCCCAACAUGUAAAGGAAAAAAAUACUAAGUGAUGUCUAGUGGGGCAAUGUAGAUUACAUUCUUAGGAUCACUACUCCUAUCUAUCAUAUGAUACGCUUUGCAGACACCGACACCCCGUGUCUUCACUUAAUCUAUGAGAUGUGGGAUUCAAUGAUUGAGAAAGUGAAGAAAGAGAUAUAUCUAUGAAGGGAAGGAACCAAAUGAGGAGUCAGAUCUCUACUCUGUUAUUCAUGAUAUAUUGAUUGCUAGGUGGACAAAAGGCAAUAAUCCACUGCAUUGUUUGGCUCAUUCACUCAAUCCAAGGUUACUAUACACUAUACAGUUCAGAAUUCAGAUUCUUUGCUUUUUAUUUUUUCAGUUGCUCAUGUUCUAAAUUGUAAUGCUAAAUUGCCAAAUGCAGAUUUUACAGCAACAAGUGGCUUGAAGAAGGUACUGGCCGACUACCCCCCCGCCCCCACAAGGAUAAGGAUGUAUCACAAAUGAGGAUGACUUGCUUCAAGAAGUUCUUUCACAUACCGCAAGAGUUGGCUAAAGUAAAGUAAGAAUACUCAAGGGUUUCUAAUUGUUCAGAAGAAUUCAAUGAUCCUGAUUCUAUACAUGAUAGAUGGGCUGUUUCCCCAAUGACUUGGUGGACAAAUCAUGGACAAUCUGUCCCUCUAUUGAUGAGUUUGGCCUUAAAAUUGCUGAGCCAACCAGCCUCCUAUUCUUGCUGUGAAAGAAAUUGGAGCACAUAUAGCUUCAUCCAUAGGGUCAAGAGAAAUGCCUUAACUCCUGAGCGGGCUAAAGAUUUGGUCUUUGUGCACUCAAAUCUGACAGGAGAGACAAGGAUGUGGGAUGUUGGAGGAGAUUCUUUUGAUUCCCUUAGUUGAAGUUGCUGACCUCUCCAUUGAUGAGCCUGACUUGCAGGCUGUAUCAUUUGGAUUGGGUGAUCUUGAGGUUGAAAGUGUGGAGGAGAAUGAGGAAACCGAGGAAGAAGCUUGAUGUUGAUGGCUUGAUGCUAUCCUAUCCUACUAUAGUACUAUAUUGCUAGUUUGCUACUACCUUUUAUUAAUUUCCUAAAUUAAAACCUGCUAUCAUGUUAUAUAGAGUGUAAUAGACCUUAAAUGUCUCUAUGUUGAACUUGAACAUCUAUUUUGCAAUUUAAUAUGCAUUGUUAUCUAUUUAUUAAUAAAAUAGUUAAAACGUAUCCACGUAUCGGGUUGUUUAAGAAAUUGCCGUAUCCGCGUAUCCGUAUCCUUCCGGUACCGAUACGCAUAUCCGUAUCCGUGCUGCAUAGGUUCCACUCAGCAAAUUAAUGUACAAUGUACAAUGAUAGCUGUGACAAUCGCUUUAGGUUUCCCAUUGAUGCUGGUAUAUUGCCAGAAAGGAAGUUUUCGGACAGAUCCAAUUGAUGCUGGUAUACUGUGCAGUUACCCAAUUCCGGAGGGAUCGAACCAUAUAUAUUGUUACAAAAUAAAUAGAGGAUAUGCAGGUAUUUUAGAAACCCAAUUUCGGGUCCUAUUGAACCUGAAACUUUCGAUGAUGACAGGUCAAGGGAAACCACUCUGUUCCUUUUAUUGCAACUAACUCCGUUCCAUGUACAUGGAGUUGCAUCAGAAGCACUCCAGCUAGAACUUACUGAACUUGGUAGCAUGAGAUUUUUCGACAGAGCAAGAAGAGCUUGGCCAUCUGAACUCAAACUCCAAGAUGAUGCAACAAAAGUGAAGAAUAGCAAAAUCCAAGGCCAGAAAACCAGCCUCAUUUUGUCCCUGAAAAGGUUUGAUAAAAGUCAGUUGACAAUUAAUUUUCCCUAUAUACAAUUAGGUGAUAGGCCGAAGCACUAAAUCAAUGAGAAUUAUAUAUGUUCAAGUGUGACAUGUAAAAAAACAGAGGGAGUAUAAGCACUCUUAUAGCUAUCUCAUGUGGCAUUGUUGGAGACAUCCUAACUUUGUUCCGGCACUACUACGUCACCUAAAAUGGCGACAAAUAAACAUUAAUCAAAACCCAGGAGCAGAGUUAGGGAAAACGAUACAGCACUGAUAGAAAAGUGUGAUACCAUUUGCUCUCGUGAUGUUUUAGCUAAACGAAAUCCUAUAUCAUAAUGUACCAGAUGGCUAAGUGCCAGCCGACCUAACAGCGCACUAUCUUGGCUAUGGUUGCAUGUUUAUAUAUAUAGAACAAGAAUUACAGAUAUAGAUAGUUUAAACUAGGACUCCUAACUUAAGUUCUAUUCUAUCUAUUGCAAACUACAGGAGUCCAUCUAUCUAUGAUACAUGUUCGGUUACAACUCUAGUAUAACACGUUUACAAUCUCUAACACCCCCGCUCAAUCUAAACUUUCCUAGCCACCUUGAAGUUUGAGAUUGCGAACAAAUGUAUUCAUCUUUGCAACCGGUAAGGCUUUUGUAAAUCCAUCUGCCAACUGAUCUCCAGAAGAGAUGAACCGAACUUGUAGCUGUUUUCUCAUAACUCUUUCACGUAUGAAGUGAAAAUUAAUUUCAAUAUGUUUUGCUCUAGCAUGAAACACGGGAUUAGCCGAUAAGUAUGUUGCACCAAGAUUAUCACACCAAAGAAUUGAGGUGCGCUGCACUUUAACCCCAAGUUCGGUCAUCAGUUGCUCAAGCCAUAUUAUUUCUGCAGUAGCAUUAGCCAUCGCUUUAUAUUCUGCUUCUGUACUAGAUCUUGAAACAGUUGGCUGUUUUCUAGCACUCCAUGAUAUAAGAUUACUUCCAUAGAAUAUGGCGAAGCCUCCAGUAGAACGCCUAUCAUCUGUAUCACCUGCCCAAUCCGCAUCUGAGAAGGCACUGAUGAAUGACGACAAUACCUUUUGAAUAUGCAUCCUGAGUCCAAUGGUGUGUUGUACAUAUCUAAGUAUUCUUUUAACUGCAGUCCAAUGAACAGAGGUCGGUGCAUGAAGAAAUUGACAUACUCUGUUGACGGCAAAGGAUAAAUCUGGUCAUGUAAUUGUCAAAUACUGAAGAGCACCAACUAUACUUCUGUAGCGAGUAGCAUCUUCUGGACUGAGAGGAACACCAUCAUAGCUCGACAGCUUCUCAGAUGCAGAUAAAGGAGUCGUGCAAGGUUUGCAGCCGAGCAUUCCAACACGCUUCAAAAAUUCUUAUGCAUACUUAGCUUGAGAUAGAGUUAUGCUAUCUAAAUCUUCUUUAACUUCUAUACCCAAGAAGUAAUGUAAUUUUCCAAGAUCCUUUAGUGCGAAGUCUUCUUUUAAACCAGCGAGAAGAGUUGUCACUGCUUCAGGUGAUGAGCUCGUAACAAUAAUAUCAUCAACAUAGAUAAGCAUAUAAAUAGUUGUACCACCCCUAUGAUAUAUAAAAAGAGACAUGUCUGAUUUUGACGGCACAAAACCUAGAGUGAUUAAUUUGGAACUUAACCUGGAGUACCACGCCCUAGGCGCCUGCUUCAGCCCAUAGAUAGCCUUGUCCAAUUUACAUAUAUAUCCUAGUGUUUUAGUAUCCUCAAAACCCGGAGGCUGCUUCAUAUAAACUUCCUCUUCCAGAACACCAUGCAAGAACGUGUUCUGCACAUCAAGUUGUCUGAGGCACCAUCCCCUUGACACUGCAAUAGAGAGUACCAAUCUAACUGUAGCUAUCUUGACAACUGGGCUGAAAGUGUCUUCAAAGUCGAUGCCAUAGCGUUGCUUGAAUCCCUUGGCAACUAAUCGAGCUUUGUAUCUAUCAAUACUCCCAUCGGCUUUUCGUUUGAUUUUGAAAACCCAUUUGCAAUCAAUAACAUUUUGUCCAGUUUUUCUUGGAACGAGAUGCCAAGUUUUAUUCUUAGCUAGAGCUUGAAAUUCCACUUCCAUUGCAUCAUGCCACUUUGAAUCUGAAAUAGCUUCAUCAACGGAAUUAGGUUCACCAGUAGCACUAAACAUGCCAUAUCGAAUCAUACCAUCAUAUAGCUUCUUUGGUUUGAUAAUACCGCUUUGCAACCGUGUUUGGUGACGCGGGGGAUCAGGUGUGGCUGCUGGAGAACUAGAGGUUGUAGAAGAUCCGGGCGCAAAUUCAUGUGCACCUGAUGCUGUAGCAUGCAGCGGUGUCCCAGGUGGAGACUCCUCAGACGCAUGCAGCGUCCACGGUGGAGACACCACCGCAUUACCCCCUCCUGUCGCCGCACUGUUGUCUUCUGGCGCAGCAACAGCGGUCGGCAGCUGGACUGCUGUUCCCCCAUGUGGUGUAGCAGGCGAAACAGCACUGUUCGACAAGCUGGGAGGAGACAGCGUUUCCACCUGGGAGCUGCAGCCUGGGCUAUGUGCGCCACAUCGUGCCAGUAGCGCUGGGAGCAUAGGCAUGGGACCUGCAAUUUUCUCUGAAGAUUCACUAGAAGUAGCAGGUACGUCACUAGUAUUAGUAAUAUCAGAUGCAGCACAAUCAUCAUCCCCUGGAUUUCGAAGGGAAGAAGGCAGUAGGACAAUUUCUUUUCUAAGAGAGGGACCCGCGUUAGGAUGGAGCUUUGAAAAGGGAAACACAGCUUCAUCAAAAACAACAUCACGGGAGAUGUAAAUGCGUCCAGUGGAGAUAUCAAGGCACUUAAAACCUUUGUGCAUGGAACUAUAGCCAAGGAAAGCACACUGAGUGGAUCGAAAAGAUAACUUCCUGGAAUUAUAUGGCUGCAGAUUGGGCCAACAAGCGCAGCCAAAAACACGAAGAUUGCUAUAAUCGGGUGCAUCAUAAAAAAGGCGAGUACUAGGAAUUUCAAAAUCAAUAACCUUGCAGGGAAGAAUAUUAAUGAGAUAGGUAGCUGUAAGGAAAGCUUGAUCCCAAAAUUUUAAAGGCAUGGAAGCAUGAGCAAGGAGAGCUAAACCAACUUCAACAAUAUGUCUAUGUUUGCGUUCAGCGGCACCAUUUUGUUGAUGAGCAUGAGGACAAGACACACGGUGUGUGAUCCCAAUUUGCUUGAAGAAGGAAUUUAAUUUUUCAUACUCGCCUCCCCAAUCUGAUUGAACACAAAGAAUUUUCUUAGAGAACUGUCUUUCUACUAAGUUUUGAAAGUCUUGGAAAAUUCGAAAAACAUCAUAUUUAUGCUUCAACAAAUAUAUCCAAGUGUAUUUGCUAUAGUCGUCAAUGAAGCUAACAUAAUAGCUAUAACGCCCAACAGAGAUGGGUGCAGGCCCCCACACAUCAGAAUAAAUCAGAUCAAGAGGAGCACUAGAAAUUUUAUUGGAAACGGAAUAAGGCAGUUGAUGGCUCUUGGCCCUUUGACAUGAAUCACAAAUUGACUCAACAUUCUUGGAACUAGCACACGGCAAUUUAUUUGAGCUAAGGAUCUUCUGAACUAUGGGAGUAGCAGGGUGACCUAGACGACUAUGCCAUAACGAUGUAGAAGGGACAUGGACUCCAAAGACUUCAUUCUUUGACUCUAUUUUUUCUUUUGAUGGAAUGAGAGGAUACAGGCCACCUUUGCAUCUACCGUGAUGUAAAGUCCUCUUCGUUUCCUGAUCCUUAAUGAGAAAGAAAUCAGGGUGAAAUUCAAGAAAAGCAUUGUUAUCUUUGGCAAGUUUAUGAACUGAAAUAAGGCGUUUGGCAGAAGAGGGCACAUGAAGAAUAUUGUUCAGAUCAAGUUUACUGGAAGGGGUAUGAAAGACUAUAUGCCCAAUAUUACUAAUACUCAUACCUUUGCCGCUAGCGUUAUGAACUUGUUCAUUGCCACUAUAUUUGUCACGGACGGUCAUCUUGUCAAGUUCGCCGGUGAUAUGGUUAGUGGCCCCGCUGUCCACAUACCAACUUGUAUCAACACCAUAAGCUCCUGCAGGCCGCCCACGGUACUGGUUGUCUUCCUCAUAGCGAAAAUAGCAUUGAUUUGCUUCAUGAUUUGUCUUCUUGCAGAUUUGACACGGCACCUUCUUUGUGCCUUGCGAGCUGUUGCCUUGAGUAUUACUGGUGAAAUUCUGAUUGCUGUUUUGUCCAUUACGCCCUGAAUUGGAUCGACCUCCACGUCGACCACCAGAGCGACUACGGCUUCCACGACCACGGGAUGCCAUAUUAGCUGAAGACUGAAAUUGAUCGGUUCCUUGAUACAUCUCGAGCCGAAGAUCGUACUCCAUAAGUAGCGAAUAUAAUUCAGAAAGUGAAAGGUCUCCUGACCGGCCCAUCAUAGAGGAAACAAAGGGGUGAUAAUCAUAAUCUAAACCAUUAAUUAGGUGAGCAACCACCUCAUCAUCGUUGAUGACGACGCCGGCUGACGCGAGCUCAUCCUUGAUGUUUUGCAUCUUGUUGAAGUAGGCUGCCAUGGUAAGACUACCCUUCUUGGUGGUGGCCAAUUGCAUGCGCAGAUUCAUAAUCCGCACUCUUGAUUGUCCUGCAAACAUAGCCCCUAACGCCUUCCAUGCCUGCACAGAGGUUGUUGCAGUCGUGAUCCCGGCGAGGACCUCCUUGGAGACCGAAUUCACCAGGUAGCUGAGUAGCUGUUGAUCUUUUUCCACCCAUGAGUCAUGCUCUGGGUUGGGAAUUUCCUUCUUCUUGCCGUUGACUUCAGCUUCAAGUACUUGUCGCGGCUCAGCGAUAGUUCCAUCCAGGAUUCCAAGCGCCUUGGCGCCUCGACAGCAGGCAGGAACUGAGUUUUCCACAGGACAAAGUUAUCCCGUGUAAGCUUGUCCACCACCGGAUGUCCGAAAGGAGAGGAUUGGUGCCUUCCAUCAUGAGAAGAAGACGAUGACAUCUUGUUUGUCGUAUAGGAGGAGCGUCACAAUCUUGAGUUGCGCUCUUCUGUUGCGACGUUGCGGGGAGGAGCGUCACGAGCAGCGUCGCGGCCCCCUUGUCGCGAGGAUGUGUUGAUAGGAUUUUUUUUUCUUUAGAUCUAUUCUAGGAAGAGGCGGCUCUGAUUACCACGAAAGAUUAUGGGGUAACUAUGGUUGCCUAUCUUGGCUCACCAUAGGUUGCAUGUUUAUAUAUAUAGAACAAGAAUUACAGAUAUAGAUAGUUUAAACUAGGACUCCUAACUUAAGUUCUAUUCUAUCUAUUGCAAACUACAGGAGUCCAUCUAUCUAUGAGACAUGUUCGGUUACAACUCUAGUAUAACACGUUUACAAUCUCUAACACGCACUAGCGACCCAAGAUGUGGUUUAAUUGAUCAGCUAGUGAUGGCAUCCGUAUGCAUGUACCAGUAGUGUGCACUGUCAUUGCUUUUGUGACAAGGUUUGUUGAGCAUACCUCGUGUGAGUCGAGACAGGGCUUGACCUCCAUGGACCAGGUUGUCCCAGAGGCCGGCACAUGGAGGAGUUUGUUGAGUCUGAACCAAAAUACUCCAUGUCCAUGGUUUGAAAGGAAGUCUGAACCCUGGUUCACGUGUCCACCUCAGAAAAUGAGGAUUUUUACGGUACACUAUAUUAGACUAUACUAAUAUUAAAAAAGGACUAGUAUAAAAAUACGAUGGUUCAGAUUAAUUGUAUACUACUGGAAACUUCAGCUGUAAUAUAGAUAAUAUAUGUGAGUAGUAUAUGUGGUACAAGGAUAUUUUAGGGAAAGGAUUUUUGACCGUUGUUUUUUUCAGUAGUUUUUUUUACAUUGUUGUAGGGCUCCAUUUCAUUUGGAAGUUCACUCCUAUCCUGUUCACCUCUUCCACUCACGUGACUGACGGCGGCGGUGCAUAUCAUGGGAGUGGCGGCGUGCGGGUCCUCGAGAGCGCCGGGGAGGGCAAGUAAGCAGCGGCACGCGGCGCCACUCGAGCAGUGUCGAGCGGCCUCCUCUCGCGUGACUGGCGGCAGCGGCGGCGACAGCAUGGGUCGCGGGAGCGACAGCAUGCGGAUCCACGAGAGCACUGUAGAGGACGAGUGAACGGCGAUAGGGACGGAUCGGGGGGCUAACUCCAUUGGAAGCAAGGGAAGAGGAGGAGGAGAGAGAAAAAGAAGAAGAAAAAAGAGGAAGGAGGGGUGGAGAUGGAGAAGAAGGAAGAAGAAAACUCCCUGGCAACGGCACUGAACAACGGCGCAGGGGCUGCUCAAGCAAACUUGAAAAAUGAAUCUUAACCGAAACAAACGCGUCAACUAACUUGAAAGGCAAGCUCGCAGAUUACAUGUACGUCUAAUUGAUUACACGUACAUCUAAUAUUACCUAACUCGUAAACUUGGAAGAAUUAAACAGAGAUAAAAUUCCUAACUUGCAAACAUGAAAAACUAAUCGAUCCUUAAUUAAUAUCUUAGUACAAUUACUAUAUUACCCCUUACUAAUGAAUGCUCAGAACUUUUUUACUACGUAUAUACUACUGAGUGGUAGUAUUAUGCAUCGGAAAAGGGUUCGAAGAGGGAGUCUGAGCUACUACGUCGGAUCGGCCAACGUAGCAGCAGUGUUAGCGCGUGUCGUCUGUCGCCGCGAGCUGCUGCCCACGGCGGCACGACCGUGCCAUGGUACGGUAGGUAGGGUCCAGGGAAAGCAAAGCAACACGUCUUCGUGGGCACAACGACGGACGGACUCAAAACGCAGGUCGGUGAAAUUAAAAACCCUGCAUACAUCUUGUAUUCCUGUUGGGAUAGAAGCAAACGCAGGGAAGAUUGAGAAGCACAAUACAGGCACACAGCCAUGCAUACGUGACACCAACACGCUAGGCAGUGGUAAUAACUCUAAAAAGGAAAGUAGCUGUGACAUCAGUCUUAAUGGGAUUUCAUCAUAGGGAGUUUCAUCGACAUUACAUUCUAACUAUCUUGGAAAAAACGGAAUGUGCUUCACAUUACGGAUUCAGUAGACACUGUCUUGUCCAGUUGUUCCUAUCUUCGUUUGCUAAAAUGACUUUCAUUAAUUUUCUUUGCUGCUAACCUUGAAAAGCAUACACAACCUCCUGCUUUUACACCCGGAUUCGUACUGUCAACGAGCAACUGGUUGGAACUGGGACAAAAACAAGGUGCUCCCAAUUCCAGAACCUUUUACGAUAUGCCAUGUUGCUUCGACCGUGCACACCUCGUUACGUUUAACCAGUCUUUUGGUAUGCAUGUGCUACUAUGCUCACCGACGAGUUUCUCCUUCCAAAACUACACUGGUUUUUUGUCUAAAACUUCAAUCGUCACUGGUUUUGUCUAAAACUCCCUAUACGAUGUGUGUAACAACGGCAUAACUGUAAAUAUCAAAGGCUAUAUGCUUCUGCAGAAGCAAAGGCGAGACACUUGUUUUAUUUUCUUUUGAACGGAAGACACUUGUUUUAUUCUAUCAAUCAAAGAUCACAUUAACUGUAAAUCACCCUAUCUUUCGUGAGUUACAACUUACAACGAACACAGUAAGCAUUUUUUGGCGGAAUUUUGCUGGAAAAGUUGUUGUAACUAAGAUCUAAAACACCUAGGUUUGUACAAUUACUGAAUCCUGGAAUGGAUCCAUUCAGGUUGUUAGCUUGGGGACUGAUUUGCAGCGAACAAGGGCAGUUUGAAAAUAUAUUUGGUGGGACCGGACCGUCGAAACCAUUGCGGCUAAGAUCUAUGUAACUUAAUCCCUUGCAAUUUCUGAAUUCAGGAAUAUGCCCGCUGAAAUUGUUGCCCUGAAGAAUGAAUCUCUCCAAACUUGGGCAGUUCGAAACCCCGGAUGGGAUGCUACCAGUGAGAUGAUUAGAGCCCAAGUCCAGAAUUCUCAAUGUUUUCCCUGAACAAAUGUUUGGCGGAAUCCCACCAACAAAACUGUUGUUGGUGAAAUCAACCUUGACUAAACGGCUGUUAGCACCCAGUCCCGGUGGUAUGGCUCCGGUGAAGAAAUUAUCAAACAGUGUAAUGUUCUGCAGGAACUUAAGCUCAGCAAGCACAGAAGGUAGCUUCCCAGUAAGACCAUUUCGAUAGACGAGGACACUUUGAAGGCUUUGGAUGCCCCAUAUAUUUUCAGGAAACUCCCCUGUGAGAUGAUUUUCAAAAAGGAACAGCUUCUGCAAGUUCCUCAAGUUUGCUAGUUCUUUUGGAACAGUGCCCUCAAGCUGGUUUGCAUCCAACUCCAGCCACAAAAGCAAUUCACAGUUGCCAAUUUCAGUAGGGAUUGGACCAGACAAAUUGUUUUGAGAAAGUAGAAGAUAAGUGAGGUUUCUCAGUAAACCAACUGUAGGUGGUAUCUGUCCGGACAGACUGUUGUUGACAAAUGCAAGCUGCGUCAAGCUGCUGCAGUUCCCUAACCAUUUUGGUAUCUCCCCUCUGAUUUGAUUGAAUGACAGGAUGAAUAUUUCCAACUUGCAGCUAUUCUCAAAACUGAAAGGAAUCUCGCCUCUGAAGCUAUUGUUUGUGGCAUCAAAUAUCCUGAGGCCUUCGAUCUUGCUCAAGGUUUCAGGAAGACUGCCGCUCAGUUGAUUAUUGAGUAGAUAGAGGACCUCCAACUUGGUGCAGUUACCAAUCGAAGCGGGUAAAACCCCAGAUAACAUAUUAUCAUGCAACCACAAGGACGUAAGGCUUGUCAUUUCACCAACCGAGAAGGGGAUCGAACCACUGAGCUGAUUGGAAUGGAGGUACACUUGCUCCAGAAACUGGUUCUUGAACAACUCCUCUGGUAUAGUUCCACUCAGCAAGUUACUGUACAGUGAUAGCUGUGACAAUCGCUUGAGGUUUCCCAUUGAUGCUGGUAUAUUGCCAGAAAGGAAAUUUUGGGAGAGAUCC
Molecule: long non-coding RNA, 32789 nt
Filed under: Setaria italica (foxtail millet)
Lineage: Eukaryota; Viridiplantae; Streptophyta; Magnoliopsida; Poales; Poaceae
Description: long non-coding RNA (SITA_LNC004713)
Source: RNAcentral